GUACCUUGUGGUAUGUUUUGCUUAACAUCAGGAAUUGCUUUCAGCAUUUGCUGAGCUCCAGGAACAGCAAGUAAGCUGUAUUGAAAACACCAGUGUCCUUAUAAUUUUAUAAACUGUUCUUCUGUGGAAAAUAUUUGUGAUUUCUUCCCAGUUUGCCACUGAGAAGUUUUUAUAUAACUGAAGCAGCUUAAUCUGAAAGAUGAAAGCUUUGUUUGCUUCUUCAGAGAAGGUGGAGGUGAGAAGCUCUGUGAAGCAUGAGGAAUGGAUGUCUUUGUGAUGUACUGGUUUGGUGUUUUUUUUUUGUUUUUUUGGGGUAGGAUCUUUCACAAUCAGUAGAUUCAUAUUUAAAACAUGAUGUCAGGGUGACUUCUCUUAAAAUGCAAAAAGCUAUACAUUCUCAUACAACAACCUACUGAGGUCUGUUGUAGACUGCUGCAGAAAUACAGAGAUGUAGAAAUGUGUAGAUACUGUAGAAAAAUGAAUCCUGCAGAAUUUGUUCUUAGAGGAUUUGCUUGCAUUCCAUUUUUUAAUCCAGCCUUUGAUCCUCUUUUUCUAUUGUAAUGAAUAUUUUUAAUCAAAUAUUUAUUUUAUGGGCUGGCUUUGUCACAUAUUAAAAAAUGGCUAAAGUGAAAUUGAUAGAGCUUUCUGCCUUGCUUCAGUUUGAAUUAGAGUUAGUGGGAGCCCUCAGCCCUUACUGAAUUCUUUUUCUGCCAUCUUUUGCAGGAAAUGGUGGGUAGAAAUGUCAGCAGAGCUCAGCAAGAAGCAGAAGAUACCAAAGUUUCUGUCUUUUUAAAACUUAUCUGCUUAGGGAAAAGGAGGCAAUUAGUGUUUCAGCUCUCUUUCAGAAUCGUGUAUUGAAACUGUAUUCAACUGAAGAAAUGAUUCUUAAUAGCUCACCUGAUCUAAUCUGUACUGACCAGUCUUUCAGGCAGAGACAUGCACAUGGAGCACAACGCAGUCUUGCAAGUCCUGCUGCAUACUAUUGUUGCCUCAGGAAAGCUGCUCCUUCAGCCUCCUGCAGGACCACAACAGGCAAAACAAAACACAACCCCUCAGUUGUAGUUGGACUCUUCUGCGGAGAGGACAUGGUGCUGUAAACUGAUUUCUUUGGGAUGAACUCUGCCUUCCUUCCCCCCACCUCUGGAUUAAAAUAGAGCAGUUUGAUAGCACAGCAGCAAAUUCACAUUAAUAUCAAACAGAAUUUCCACUACCGUUUUCAUAUUAACAUGAGAUGCCAGAAUGUAAAGUUAGCUAGAUCUGCACAUGGGACCAUUCUUGCUGUUAAAGGCUUUAGGCUGGAACGGAGCCCAAAAUUUUUAAAAGAAAUGAAACAUUUCCAGAUCAAAUAUUAAUUACAUGCUAUAUAGAAUCAUAUUUUUCAAACAAAUUUUAUAAAUAAAAAGCUAGGCCUUUCAAACCA
This 1420-nucleotide long non-coding RNA is filed under the name Chrysolophus pictus (golden pheasant). RNAcentral's name for it is "lncRNA (ENSCPIG00010014274.1)". The record is from RNAcentral. Lineage: Eukaryota; Metazoa; Chordata; Aves; Galliformes; Phasianidae.